GGUGCUGUAUCUCAGUGGUAGAGCACCCGCCUCUCAUGUGUGAGGCACAGGUUCAAUCCUGAGCACCA
This 68-nucleotide transfer RNA is filed under the name Marmota marmota marmota (Alpine marmot). It matches the Rfam family "tRNA". Rfam says of the family: Transfer RNA (tRNA) molecules are approximately 80 nucleotides in length. The record is from Rfam by way of RNAcentral. RNAcentral also lists the same sequence under 1 other name. Lineage: Eukaryota; Metazoa; Chordata; Mammalia; Rodentia; Sciuridae.